GACGAACGCUGGCGGCGUGCUUAACACAUGCAAGUCGAACGAGGCCCCGCCCUCGGGUGGGUGUUCUAGUGGCGAACGGGUGAGUAACACGUGGGCAACCUGCCCCCGGCUCUGGGAUAACUCCAAGAAAUUGGGGCUAAUACCGGAUAUGUCCGCCGACCGCAUGGUCUGGUGGUGGAAAGGGUUUCCGGCUGGGGAUG
This 200-nucleotide ribosomal RNA is filed under the name uncultured bacterium. Its description in RNAcentral is "partial 16S ribosomal RNA". It matches the Rfam family "Bacterial small subunit ribosomal RNA", at positions 28 to 227 of the family's 1533-position model. The record is from RNAcentral.